RNAcentral lists this ribosomal RNA (868 nucleotides) under uncultured archaeon. RNAcentral describes it as "bacterial SSU rRNA". It matches the Rfam family "Archaeal small subunit ribosomal RNA", at positions 1 to 878 of the family's 1478-position model. The record is from RNAcentral.
CUCCGGUGGAUCCUGCCGGACCCGACUGCUAUCAGAGUGAGAUUAAGCCAUGCGAGUUAACGUAGCAAUACGUGGCGCACGGCUCAGUAACACGUAGUCAACAUGCCCAGAGGACGUGGAUAACCUCGGGAAACUGAGUCUAAACCGCGAUAAGUGAGGAUUUCUGGAAUGGUUCCUGACUAAAAUCUAUAUGGCCUCUGGAUUGGACUGCGGCCGAUCAGGCUGUUGGUGAGGUAAUGGCCCACCAAACCUGUAACCGGUACGGGCUCUGAGAGGAGGAGCCCGGAGAUGGGCACUGAGACAAGGGCCCAGGCCCUAUGGGGCGCAGCAGGCGCGAAACCUCUGCAAUAGGCGAAAGCCUGACAGGGUUACUCUGAGUGACUUUCGCUAAGAAAGUCUUUUGGCACCUCUAAAAAGGGUGCAGAAUAAGGGGUGGGCAAGUCUGGUGUCAGCCGCCGCGGUAAUACCAGCACCCCGAGUGGUCGGGACGAUUAUUGGGCCUAAAGCAUCCGUAGCCGGUUCUGCAAGUCCCCCGUUAAAUCCAGCUGCUCAACAGAUGGGCCGCGGAGGAUACUACAGAGCUAGGAGGCGGGAGAGGCAAGCGGUACUCGAUGGGUAGGGGUAAAAUCCGUUGAUCCAUUGAAGACCACCAGUGGCGAAGGCGGCUUGCCAGAACGCGCUCGACGGUGAGGGAUGAAAGCUGGGGGAGCAAACCGGAUUAGAUACCCGGGUAGUCCCAGCUGUAAACGAUGCAGACUCGGUGAUGAGUUGGCUUAUUGCUAACUCAGUGCCGCAGGGAAGCCGUUAAGUUUGCCGCCUGGGGAGUACGGUCGCAAGACUGAAACUUAAAGGAAUUGGCGGGGGAGCA